RNAcentral lists this ribosomal RNA (301 nucleotides) under uncultured bacterium. RNAcentral's name for it is "partial 16S ribosomal RNA". It matches the Rfam family "Bacterial small subunit ribosomal RNA", at positions 509 to 807 of the family's 1533-position model. The record is from RNAcentral.
CAGCAGCCACGGGAAUACAGAGGGUGCGAGCGUUAAUCGGAUUUACUGGGCGUAAAGCGUGCGUAGGCGGCUAAUUGAGUCGGAUGUGAAAUCCCCGAGCUUAACUUGGGAAUUGCAUUCGAUACUGGUUAGCUAGAGUGUGGGAGAGGAUGGUAGAAUUCCAGGUGUAGCGGUGAAAUGUGUAGAGAUCUGGAGGAAUACCGAUGGCGAAGGCAGCCAUCUGGCCUAACACUGACGCUGAGGUACGAAAGCAUGGGGAGCAAACAGGAUUAGAUACCCCCGUAGUCCCUGUCUCUUAUAC